CACACGACUCUCGGCAACGGAUAUCUCGGCUCUCGCAUCGAUGAAGAACGUAGCGAAAUGCGAUACCUGGUGUGAAUUGCAGAAUCCCGCGAACCAUCGAGUCUUUGAACGCAAGUUGCGCCCGAGGCCAUUCGGCCGAGGGCACGCCUUCCUGGGCGUCACGC
Molecule: ribosomal RNA, 164 nt
Filed under: Campeiostachys nutans
Lineage: Eukaryota; Viridiplantae; Streptophyta; Magnoliopsida; Poales; Poaceae
Description: Elymus nutans 5.8S ribosomal RNA
Rfam family: 5.8S ribosomal RNA
About the family: 5.8S ribosomal RNA (5.8S rRNA) is a component of the large subunit of the eukaryotic ribosome.
Source: RNAcentral